UAAGCGGAGGAAAGGAAACCAACAGGGAUUGCCUCAGUAACGGCGAGUGAAGCGGCAAAAGCUCAAAUUUGAAAUCCCCCGGGAAUUGUAAUUUGAAGAGAUUUGGGUCCGGCCGGCAGGGGUUAAGUCCACUGGAAAGUGGCGCCACAGAGGGUGACAGCCCCGUGAACCCCUUUAAAGCCCUCAUCCCAGAUCUCCAAGAGUCGAGUUGUUUGGGAAUGCAGCUCUAAGUGGGUGGUAAAUUCCAUCUAAAGCUAAAUACCGGCGAGAGACCGAUAGCGAACAAGUACAGUGAUGGAAAGAUGAAAAGCACUUUGAAAAGAGAGUGAAAAAGUACGUGAAAUUGUUGAAAGGGAAGGGCUUGCAAGCAGACACUUAACUGGGCCAGCAUCGGGGCGGCGGGAAACAAAACCACCGGGGAAUGUACCUUUCGAGGAUUAUAACCCCGGU
This 450-nucleotide ribosomal RNA is filed under the name Metschnikowia sp. (in: budding yeasts & allies). RNAcentral describes it as "eukaryotic LSU rRNA". It matches the Rfam family "Eukaryotic large subunit ribosomal RNA", at positions 47 to 491 of the family's 3401-position model. Lineage: Eukaryota; Fungi; Ascomycota; Pichiomycetes; Serinales; Metschnikowiaceae. The record is from RNAcentral.